This is a long non-coding RNA of Lotus japonicus, 1424 nucleotides long. RefSeq lists it as uncharacterized. The transcript is spliced from 2 exons. The record is from RefSeq and is a predicted model, not a curated record. Lineage: Eukaryota; Viridiplantae; Streptophyta; Magnoliopsida; Fabales; Fabaceae.
UUUACUUUUUGUCUUUCUCUUACAUAAGCUUGCCCUAGUACAGAACAUAAAUCAUGGCUUUCUCUUAUCUCCGAUCCCAAUUUCGCAAAAUCUCAUUACGAUCUUGCUGCUGAACCGACCCAUCGAUUUCUCUACACAUCAAUUGAUAGUUGUGCCACUGCCAAGGUACGAUCCAUAGACAUAGAAGCAUCACGUGGUGAUCAUUCUUCAGUAUCAAAUCACAUUCUUCCGCACCCAUUAUCCGCAAACCAAUUUGAUGAUCGGUUUUUUAAUAGGAUUCUCAUUUAUGGUUCUUGCCGAGGAUUUUUACUUUUGAAUAACAGGCGCCGUAAUCUCCUUGUGUGGAAUCCGUCAACCGGUGCUUGCAAACCAAUACCCAACCCACAUGUCAAGUUCGCGUAUAAUUCCCUAUAUGGAUUUUGGUACGAUGCAUCAACGGAUGAUUAUCUGGUUCGCAAUGCCCGAGAUUCGAGCAGAUUCCCCUGAUUUUGUAACACAUAAUGAGAUUUUCUCCUUCAAAACCAAUUCAUGGGACCAAAUUGAGGGUUUCAAAUUCCCCAAGUUCGCGUGUGGAACUAGAAUUGAAGCUGGGCUACUUUUAAAUGGAGCUCUUCAUUGGUUGGUUUACGAUGCAGAUAAUUUUGUCAUAAUUGCUUUUGAUUUGAUAGGAAGGAGUUUAUUUGAGAUUCCUUUACCAUAUGGUAUACAUACGGAAGAUAUCGAAGGAGUUCAUCUGAGGGUUAUGGGAGAUUGUCUUUGUCUGUGUAAUCCUAAUAGUAGUGAUCGUGCAAUGGCUGAGAUAUGGAUGAUGAAAGAGUAUAAAGUGCACUCAUCUUGGACUAAGUCAUCUGUUCUGCCCAAUUAUGAUAUUAUUCCUUAUUGCUCCUUUCUUCCAAUAUGCUUCACCAAAUCGGAAGGAUUAUUUGAAACAAAUUGCAAUGGAAGAUUAGUGAAAUUUAAUUGCAAAGGUGUUUUAAUUGAACAUCGUACAUACAGAAAUGAGUUUGAGUCUCUACUUCAGUCUGCUAUGUAUAGAGAAAGCCUACUCUCCCUCCCUGGUACUUUGGGGAAUUAAGUGAUUAUGGCUGACAAUAAUAGACAAGAUGUCUUUCAGGGGCGUGGGGAAAGAGUAUGUUUUUCCACCUGCAGGGUUGAUGUCACCCAGCUCUUUGACCACUUGAGCUAUCUAGAGGAGACUAAUCAAAUUUCAUUAUCUGAACAGAACAACUGAGCCUCAGUGGGCUUGAAAGUGGCUUUAGUUAUGCAGACUUGUGUUGCAUCACAUCACUGGAAUUUUCAAACUAGCAUGGUUUCUGUUUAGUUUUCUUUUCAUACUUGAAAUAAUCAUUGUUUCUAUAUUUUGUUCUAUAAUGAUCAAGUUAUUAAUGCAACUCACUGGUAGGUGAGUGCUGAUUUUAUCCGUA